UAAUGGUAUAUAUGCUGUUCAAAGACAGCAGGUGCGUAAUGCGUAAAAGGAAAUAUCCUGCCUGCCGAGGACAAGCUGCUUAGACAUAUUUUGUCAUAGUGUGCCUUUUCCUCGUGUGGGAAAAGGCACUUUUUAAUGCAUUGC
Clostridium sp. CAG:964 is the source of this 144-nucleotide regulatory RNA element. It matches the Rfam family "Ribosomal protein L10 leader". Rfam says of the family: This family is a putative r-protein leader autoregulatory structure found in B. subtilis and other low-GC Gram-positive bacteria. It is located in the 5' untranslated regions of mRNAs encoding ribosomal proteins L10 and L12 (rplJ-rplL). The record is from Rfam. NCBI's taxonomy places the organism in Bacteria, Bacillati, Bacillota, Clostridia, Eubacteriales, Clostridiaceae.